GCUACUCUGUGGAUGAAUGGAAAUAUAGCCCUACAAAGAACAUGGGGAAAGGAAGAUGGGUUUGAAUGGUUUACUGAAAAAAAUGUCUUCAUGGAUUCCUUGAUUUCUGUUACACACCUCACUUAACAAAUACUAGGCUGGAUUAAGCAAGAGGGAGAUGCCAAAGAGGCCAUACUGGAUCUUUUCCUCUUAUAAUAUCAGCAUAGAGUUUAUGGGUGACAAAUUAUGCCAAGGAACUGCUGGGAUACUGUUGGGGCACAAGAAUGCUAUGCUUAACUGCUUCGUGAGAGUGAGUGAGUGAGUGAGUGAGUGAGUGAGAGAGAGAGAGAGAGAGAGAGAGAGAGAGAGAGAAUUUUAUUGUGCCUUUCCUUCUCUGCCAGGCACUUGGUUAUCCCUCUUUAAUCAAUUAAAGUUGCAAGGCUUGUUUAGCAAUACCCCUCCUCCUUAGGAAAUAAGUGAGAUGACGUCCUUCUUGUCUUUCCAAUAUCAGAUUCACUCCAGGAGGAGUUCUGAAGAUUUCCAGUUCCAUCACCAUCAUCUCCCUUUCCACAGAGAAUCAAUACACAAAAUUGUGCAUCAAGACUUCCUAGUUCCAUUUUGGACAUAUUCUCUGGUAAGUUUAAGAGAGAAUAACGUCUCUACUAUUUCAGAUCCAGAAUUUUCUAUUGCCAAAGACACAAUUUGAAAAGCCUAAGGGAAAAGUUACUCAAAGGAAGAGCAACGUGUUCUGUCAGCUCUGUUGUUUUUGCCAAACCACAAAGCCAGCUAAAGUUACAGAUAUUAGAAGAACCUUCACUCAGGUGCAAUAGGAAGCAAGAAAAGGCUAAUGAUGGGUCAAGAGCCAUAUACAAAAACAGUGAUCAUGUUACUGCACAAAACAUUAAUCAACAGAGGAUAAUGGAAUGCUAUUAAAUUCCAUUAAAAGCCUAGCUAUUGUUUUCUUAUUAAAAUUC
Molecule: non-coding RNA, 953 nt
Organism: Notechis scutatus (mainland tiger snake)
Lineage: Eukaryota; Metazoa; Chordata; Lepidosauria; Squamata; Elapidae
Source: RefSeq, a predicted model, not a curated record